Molecule: ribosomal RNA, 434 nt
Filed under: uncultured Serratia sp.
Lineage: Bacteria; Pseudomonadati; Pseudomonadota; Gammaproteobacteria; Enterobacterales; Yersiniaceae
Description: bacterial SSU rRNA
Rfam family: Bacterial small subunit ribosomal RNA
Source: RNAcentral
AACGCGAAGAACCUUACCUACUCUUGGCAUCCAGAGAACUUUCCAGAGAUGGAUUGGUGCCUUCGGGAACUCUGAGACAGGUGCUGCAUGGCUGUCGUCAGCUCGUGUUGUGAAAUGUUGGAUUAAGUCCCGCAACGAGCGCAACCCUUAUCCUUUGUUGCCAGCGGUUCGGCCGGAAACUCAAAGGAAACUGCCAGUGAUAAACUGGAGGAAGGUGGGGAUGACGUCAAGUCAUCAUGGCCCUUACGAGUAGGGCUACACACGUGCUACAAUGGCGUAUACAAAGAGAAGCGACCUCGCGAGAGCAAGCGGACCUCAUAAAGUACGUCGUAGUCCGGAUUGGAGUCUGCAACUCGACUCCAUGAAGUCGGAAUCGCUAGUAAUCGUAGAUCAGAAUGCUACGGUGAAUACGUUCCCGGGCCUUGUACACACCG